CUUUAAAAAGAUUUUAUUUUAAAUUGUGAGUAUAUGGAAUGCUGGAGAGAUGGCUCAGGGGUUAAGAGAACACUGUAACUCCAAUUCCUGGGGAUCCUACACCCUCUUCUGACUUCCACAGAGGUGGCACAUACAUAAAAACACUCGUACACAUGAAAUAAAUCGAAAAUUUACAAAUUAAAAUUAUGAUUAUGUGGGCAGUGGGGUGUGUACACAUGAAUGCAGGUGCUCUCGGAGGCCAGAGGGGGCAUCGGGUCCCUUGAAGUGGAGUUACAAGCAGUUUUGAGCUGCCAGUUAUGAGUGCCAGGAACUUACCUCAGGUCCUCUGUAAGAGCAACAAAUGCUCUUAACUACUGAGCCAGCUCUCCAACCCCUAAACACCUCCUAAGUGGGACAAAAAUCACCUCAGGCAAGCUGGUCAUAUCCCUACUGAAGGCCAGGUGAGCAAUGACUAUUAUGGGAUGCUGGGAGCCUAGAGUGAUUGACACUGGCCCUUAGGGACCCCUUUCUGGGUCUCCUCAGGGAAGGUGGCCCAGGAGGCACAGUGUUGAACUGUCUGUGUCCAGAGCUCAAAAGCAGCACCCAGCUCCAGUGUGGACUUGGCAUUCAUGCCCACACAUUCUACAAGAUUCCAGACAUAACCACUCAAAUCAUCCACCUGGGAUUCUGUCCUGUAUCCUCAAGUGAUGGCAAUGCUUUGCGACUGUUUCUCAGACUAGCAAUGCCCAGGUACUUCACAGGCCUGCGGCAAGCAAUACAUUAGCUCGCUGAAUGAGCCAGACACAGUGGCUCAGGCCUGUGAAGCCAGCACCCCGUGGAGGCCAGAAGGUCAGGAGUUGGAAGUCAUCCUUGGUUAUACAGUGAGUUCCAGGUCCAUCCGUACUACAAGAAACCCUGUCUAACCAAGCAACUGUCCCCACUUCCCCCAAGAAAACCUAAUUUGUUGAUGACUGAUGUACAACAUCUGCCUAGAACUGGGGGCGGUUAGCAAAAAAGGAUAUGCUCCUGUGGCAGGCUUUGGAUCGCCAUCCCUACCCAAGCAGGCUGCUUCUAGGAGAGCAACUUUGUCCAGUUCCCACAGGCCUUUCUACAGAGAACCAGGGAUGAGUCUGGUUUGAGAAUUCGAUUGUUCUUGAACCCCGAACCCGACCACCAACGUCUCUCUUAACCUCCUAACCUGAACACUUCAGGACUACAGGCCUGAUCUGAACCCUGACAUGGGGAAGGCCACCAGGGGAGCGCCCCGGCCUGGCUCCUGGCCUGGCUGGAGGCUCGAACCCAGACCAAAGGAGGCUGGCGGCGGCCGUUGCCUGGAGUAACUGAUGCUGGUGCCUCCCCAGACCACUUGGGAGUCUCCCGCCUGCUCAGAGCCCUGUAGCCUCAGUUUCCCCACCUACGAAAGGAGGCCAGAAGAGGCCACCUCCAGACCGGUUUGAGAGUUCCAUCUACCAAAGGCUAGCACACCCCAGUAGCCCAGCCCGCUGCCCCAAGGAGGAGCAGGGUGUAAGUGUCCUCCGUGGUUGUACCCAGCAACACAGGGCAGUCAGAGCAACGUGGGUACUCCCGGAAGUGGGUGUGGGGCAUAGGCCAAAGGAGUUGCCAUGGAAGUGACUGGAGAGGACACUUGUGGAAGCCGGAGCGGGCAGCACCUGCUGCGGGUGGCGUCCGGAGGGGGCCUGGGCAUGAGUCACUGCCCAGCAAUGAGGCUGAGUCACAGGGCGGGGUCCCGGCGCCUCCCCCACCAGCCGCUCCCACAAAGGACCUUUUGAGAAGAGCUCCGCACCCCCGCCCAGCCCCCAGGCUGUCUCGGGUCUUAGUUGUGGGCACAGACACUUCUGGGCUGCCCCCAGGAGCCUGGCCUGGGCCUGGGUGUCUGCCACAUCUGUGAAAAGUCACCAUCCAGGGGCAUCCCCGGAGAGGGGGCUUCCUGGCCGCCUGAGUCACCGUCAGGACAGCAGAGGAUCAUUUUCGCUGGGCCCACGCACAGAGCAGGCUAAUUGAGUCAGGCUGUCUAAUGUCGGCAGGAAAAGCGGGUGCUGGAGGCAUCUCCCGUCUUCAGGACCGCUCAAGCCUGAGGGGCCUUCUCUCCUUGAGACCUUGGAGCCUUCUCAGGCAGGACACAGACAACCAACCAUACCAGGCCUGAGGAUACCAAAAAGUCUCCACAUGGGUACAAGGUUUCAGAAGGAGCCAGUAGCCAGCGAUGUUUAAUCCCAGCACUCGGGAGGCAGAGGCAGGCAGAUCUCUGGCCAACCUGAUCCACAGAGUGAGUUCUAGGACAGCCAGAACUACACCGAGAAACCCAGUUUAAAAAAAAAAAAAUGCCAGUUGCGGGGGCACAUAUAGUCCCAGCACUCAGACAAAUGGCUCUCUGCGUGUUUGGAGCCAAACUGGUCUACAUAACGGGUUCCAGGCCAGCCAGGAUACAGAAUGAGACCCUGGCUGGCUCAAAAGGUCAGCGAAAGCAGGGUGUGGGCGUGUGCGGGAUGCCUGGAGAGGUGGCUCAGCAGUCCUCCAGAGGACCUGGGCGCGAUUCCCAGCACCCACAUGGCUGCUCACACAUGGUAACUCCAGUUCCAGAGAAUCAGACAUUCUCUUAGACAUGCAUACAAGCAAAACACCCAUACUUAUAAAUAAAUAAAUGUUUUAAAGGAGAUUUAAUAAAGCAUCAAAAAGG
Molecule: long non-coding RNA, 2677 nt
Organism: Peromyscus californicus insignis
Lineage: Eukaryota; Metazoa; Chordata; Mammalia; Rodentia; Cricetidae
Exons: 2
Source: RefSeq, a predicted model, not a curated record